Panthera pardus (leopard) is the source of this 103-nucleotide microRNA precursor. Ensembl annotates it as microRNA 221. Its record names the gene MIR221. NCBI's taxonomy places the organism in Eukaryota, Metazoa, Chordata, Mammalia, Carnivora, Felidae. The record is from Ensembl.
UCCAGGUCUGGGGCGUGAACCUGGCAUACAAUGUAGAUAUCUGUGUUUCUUGGGCAACAGCUACAUUGUCUGCUGGGUUUCAGGCUACCUGGAAACAUGUUCU